RNAcentral lists this long non-coding RNA (630 nucleotides) under Ananas comosus (pineapple). RNAcentral's name for it is "long non-coding RNA (ACOM_LNC044532)". The record is from RNAcentral. Lineage: Eukaryota; Viridiplantae; Streptophyta; Magnoliopsida; Poales; Bromeliaceae.
UGUGAAACUUUAAUUACAUUAUUGUUAAUUUUAAUUCAUGGGUUAAUUUUAUACAGAUUUCUACAAACAUAAUGAAUGAGAAAUAUAUUUCUAUAAAGUUCAACUUUUAUAUAUUAUCUCUAUAAAAGUCCUGAGAUGUUUUCAAAUAUAUUCCUACUAUUAGAAUUGUCAGAAAAAUUUAGUUAACCAUAGAUUAAAUACUCAACCUUAGUUAGUUUUUUGACAUUUUUACUCUUCUUAUAUUAUACUGUUAUGAUUUUUGGAGAGACAUAUUUGUAAUGGCAAAAUUAAAAAUAUAAACGGUUCUCUAACUGUUCUCUAACGAUAACAAAGGAGAGGGACGCAGAAACAACAUAUGAAAGUUGAAUCUUGUAGGAAUAUAUUUGUCAUUCACUAUGUUUGUAGGGACCUGUAUGAAAUUAACCAUUAAUUCAUAUUCAUAUGCAGAUAUUAGUAUGUAUUAUUAUCUGAAUAAAAUUCAAUUCAUUGUAUCUGAAUUCGUUUUCGGUGGAUAUGGUACUAAAAAAUUUAGCAUAUAAUACCUAUCUGCAUCUGAAUUUAUAUCAUUUAUAAAAAAAAAAUAUGGGCACGAAAAUGUUUUCGUCAAAUAUUUGAUCGUAUUCGACCGUU